Molecule: ribosomal RNA, 376 nt
Filed under: uncultured bacterium
Lineage: Bacteria
Description: bacterial SSU rRNA
Rfam family: Bacterial small subunit ribosomal RNA
Source: RNAcentral
UACGUAGGGGGCGAGCGUUGUCCGGAAUUACUGGGCGUAAAGGGUGCGUAGGUGGCCUAUUAAGUUGGAUGUGAAAUACCCGAGCUUAACUUGGGGGGUGCAUCCAAUACUGGCAGGCUAGAGUGCAGGAGAGGGAAGCGGAAUUCCUAGUGUAGCGGUGAAAUGCGUAGAUAUUAGGAGGAACACCAGUGGCGAAGGCGGCUUUCUGGACUGUAACUGACACUGAGGCACGAAAGCGUGGGGAGCAAACAGGAUUAGAUACCCUGGUAGUCCACGCUGUAAACGAUGAAUACUAGGUGUAGGGGGUAUCAACUCCCCCUGUGCCGGAGCAAACGCAAUAAGUAUUCCGCCUGGGGAGUACGGCCGCAAGGUUGAA